GUGCUCGCUUCGGCAGCACAUAUACUAAAAUUGGAACCAUA
Molecule: small nuclear RNA, 41 nt
Filed under: Cervus elaphus hippelaphus
Lineage: Eukaryota; Metazoa; Chordata; Mammalia; Artiodactyla; Cervidae
Source: RNAcentral